CCCAGCAUGGUGUAGUGGUUUGAGAGCAUUGGACUACAACUCUGGAGACCAAGGUUCGAUUCCCUGCUUUGCCA
This is a non-coding RNA of Phrynosoma platyrhinos (Desert horned lizard), 74 nucleotides long. The record is from the annotation of a GenBank genome assembly. NCBI's taxonomy places the organism in Eukaryota, Metazoa, Chordata, Lepidosauria, Squamata, Phrynosomatidae.